AAGAAUGUGGCGAAAAGGUAUCGCGUUAGCUUUGGGAGUUAAAGAUUGUAUGUUCGAAUCUUACUAUUCUGA
This 72-nucleotide transfer RNA is filed under the name Phaeocystis antarctica. RNAcentral describes it as "tRNA-Pro". It matches the Rfam family "tRNA". From Rfam's summary of the family: Transfer RNA (tRNA) molecules are approximately 80 nucleotides in length. Their secondary structure includes four short double-helical elements and three loops (D, anti-codon, and T loops). Lineage: Eukaryota; Haptophyta; Phaeocystales; Phaeocystaceae. The record is from RNAcentral.